RNAcentral lists this long non-coding RNA (730 nucleotides) under Homo sapiens (human). Its description in RNAcentral is "novel transcript". The record is from RNAcentral. Lineage: Eukaryota; Metazoa; Chordata; Mammalia; Primates; Hominidae.
UGGGGAAAUGGAAGAGGACUCCAGCCAACAGCCCACAAAGAACAAAUUCCUGCUGAGAACCAUGUGUGAACUUGGAAGCCAUUACCUCCCAGUUGAGCUUUCUGAUGAGAGCAUAGCCCUGGCCAACAGCUCCACUGCGGCCUGAGGAGGGCCCUGGAGCCAGAGGCACCCACACAGCUGUGUCCAGAUCCCCACCCGCAGAGGCAGCAAGUCCCAAAUGAGGCCUGGAGACAAAUACUUACAGAAAACAUGACACCGAGAAGAGGAACUUUUAAAAAACGUAUCAAGGACUCAAAUCAAUGUGCGCAAAAAACAAAACUUGGAGAAAAAGCAACAUUCCUGAUAUCUUUUGCACGUGAGGCAAGUGCCCUGUGACUCUUUUGUAAGGAAUAAUCCCUGCUUCAAUGGGGGGAAGUCACUCCCCACUGUACUGUUGGAUUCUGAAUGUCCUUGGUUCAUGCAUGAACACAUUGUCAUUGUUCGAGUUCCUAGGCAUGGGGCUCCUGGGUUGGGGAUUUACAUUUAUUCGGCUUAUAGAUGUGGCUGAAAGGUUUUCCCAGUGGCCAUGCCAGUGAUGCCACACUGCCAGUCCCCGCUGUUCCACAUUCAUCUUGCCAGCUGGGGUUUGCUGCUGGACAUUUCACGGGGCCACAUCGAUGGGUGGGUGGUGGUUCUGGGGCCAUAUCAGUGGAUGGGUGGUCACCGCUGAGUUUCAUUUUGUUUUGUUCUG